CCUGACUCUGAAUGUCAAAGGAUCGAGGUUGCAACAUACAAACAAAGAACAAAUCUGAUUUCUGGAAGAAAGAUUCAUGGCUUUGCCUGAUACCAACGAGACAACGGAAGGAGAAUGUAAAGAAAGAGAAAUCAAUGAGAAACCAGUGAAAGAUUACCUCCCUCUUGCUGUUGAUAACGAAAGCACCAACGCCCACACGAUGUGAAGCAUUUGCAGGAAGGGUAUCAGGGGUAUCAGGGAUCCAAUAUACAAGCAUCAAGUAAUCUGGCUCAGCAUGGUGAUACCUAAAUCCAGCCUACAAAAUAAAAAAGAGUUGUUUGUUAGGAUUCACAUUCAGGCACUGUCUAAGCUAUAUGCUGCAGUAAAAUAUAUAUUCAGCAACAUAUAAAUGAAGGACUCAUAUAUCCAAAUUAUUUAUGUGGUUGCUCUUAACUCAGUGACCACAUGAGUCUUUUGUAUUUACUUAUUUGUACUUAUCUACCCGCAAAAGUACUUAUUUGAGAGAGCUGAUGAAAACAACUUAUAACAUGUCUACAAGUUCUUCAGGAUA
Long non-coding RNA from Cicer arietinum (chickpea), 550 nucleotides. RefSeq lists it as uncharacterized. NCBI's taxonomy places the organism in Eukaryota, Viridiplantae, Streptophyta, Magnoliopsida, Fabales, Fabaceae. The record is from RefSeq and is a predicted model, not a curated record.